This 407-nucleotide ribosomal RNA is filed under the name uncultured bacterium. Its description in RNAcentral is "partial 16S ribosomal RNA". It matches the Rfam family "Bacterial small subunit ribosomal RNA", at positions 30 to 526 of the family's 1533-position model. The record is from RNAcentral.
AUUGAACGCUGGCGGCAUGCCUUACACAUGCAAGUCGAACGGAGUGGCGAACGGGUGAGUAAUGUCUAGGAACGUGCCCAGUAGUGGGGGAUAACUACGGGAAACCGUCGCUAAUACCGCAUACUAUUAGGGCAGCCGAUGUCGGAUUAGCUAGGUGGUGGGGUAACGGCUAACCAAGGCGACUAUCCGUAACUGGUUCGAGAGGACGCACAGCCACACUGGAACUGGGACACGGCCCAGACUCCUAAGGGAGGCAGCAGUGGGGAAUAUUGGACAAUGGUGGAAACCCUGAUCCAGCCAUGCCGCGUGUGUGAUGAAGGUCUUCGGGUUGUAAAGCACUUUUGGUAGGGAGGCGUUACCUACAGAAUAAGCACCGGCUAACUACGUGCCAGCAGCCGCGGUAAUAC